UCAUAGAGGGUGAGAAUCCCGUCUNCACACGGCCUNCCGGGCUGUGUGAUGUGCUCUCAAAGAGUCGAGUUGUUUGGAAUGCAGCUCAAAAUGNGUGGUAAAUUCCAUCUAAAGCUAAAUAUUGGCGAGAGACCGAUAGCGAACAAGUACCGUGAGGGAAAGAUGAAAAGAGCUCAGGAAAGAGAGUUAAACAAUGCGUGAAAUUGCUGAAAGGGAAACGCUCGAAGUCAGUCGCGUUGGCCAGGGAUCAGCCUUCCUCCUUUGCUUGGCUUACUUUCCGGUCGAUGGGUCAGCAUCAAUUUUGUCUGGUGGAAAAAGUUCAAGGGAAUGUGGCAUCUUCGGAUGUGUUAUAGCCUUGUUCACAUUCAUCAGUUUGGAUUGAGGCUCUCAGCACGCCUCAAGUCCGGGUUUUAAGACCCGUCCGUGCUUAGGAUGCUGGCAUAAUGGCUUUAAUCGACC
RNAcentral lists this ribosomal RNA (459 nucleotides) under uncultured fungus. RNAcentral's name for it is "eukaryotic LSU rRNA". It matches the Rfam family "Eukaryotic large subunit ribosomal RNA", at positions 202 to 649 of the family's 3401-position model. The record is from RNAcentral. Lineage: Eukaryota; Fungi.